AAAAAAAAAAACAAACAAACCAAUAAAACACCUCCAAAAAGAACUAAAAAAGGGGAAAAAUAAAUGUGUAACUGGUGUAGAUUUGUCCAGGGAAAAUUGUGUUUAACUCAUUUAAUUUCCUGCUGAAACAGAGUUUCAGGCUUUGCAGAUAAAAGCAAGGCAUUGUUGACUUAUAUCUCAUCUUAGAAAGGCUUUUGCCAUACCUUGUGCAGAUUCUCAUAAGGAAAUUGGAGAGAAAUCAUAUUGGGAGAGUGAAAAAUAAGAUUGGGAAAACCUUCCAUUGAGCCAGACAUGAACGAACAAACCAAAGAAGGUAGGGAAAGUUUGUCAACAAGCAAAAUGUUUGGGGCUCCCUCCUCGUCCUUUCCUUUUCUCUUUUUGUUUUAUUUUUCUUUCUGUUUCCUCCAUCCCAUCUUGCAGGAGGUGAUGGCAGCUUCAGUUCUCUCCCAGCUCAGUGGCAGUGUACCAGCCCAGAGGUGCUGAAGAUAACUAUUACUUUCAAGAGCUGAAGGACGUGAGAGAGAUUUGAGUGCAAGUUAUGGCUACAUCUGACAGGUGUUGUCACCCUGAGGGGAUUAGCAAAAGACAUUUCAUUUUCACUUACCAACAUCAGCCUUACCCUACAGGGAAACAUGUGAGCCCACCUCAAAACCCACUGUUUAAUUGCUUUGAGUUAUCCAUGCAGUGUUGCCUUUCACCCUCAGUCUCUGAAGGUAUUCCUGCCUCACAGAUACAUUCUGGGUCUCAAAUGUUAUGUACAGCAGCAAAGUAGAAUGCCAGGGUGACCUGUUCUCUGGACAGAAGGGGCCAUGGGACUCUCUGGCUUCUUUUUUCCCCACUGCAGCUACCCCCACUGCUCUUGGCUGUGUUCAAAACACCCAGGCAGAGACACCUACCCAGUGCAUGGACAAGCUGGGAGGAGCACAGCACUGCCACCCCUCUGUACCUCAUGGGCCACCCAAGAACCCCUUGCCACCUCCCCUCCACCACAGCCUGGGAGCACAGGAUCUGAGGGCAUGUGCUGCUCUUUUUCACGUCAGGAUGGAGGGGAUGUUCGGCCCAUCUGAAAAUAUUUUCUUUUUACAAAUGUUCUGCUCUGGAAAUAGAUUUUUCCUCCUUAGAGACAGCCACCAGAACCAUAGCAGAGCAGGAACAACUGGUGGAAAAGUCAAACAGCCACCAUGUGUUUCCAGCAACGCCCUGCUGUGAUUUCUUUCUGCAGGACCCUAGGAAGCUGCAGUACCACCCUGACUCGAGCUGCAUUCAUGUUACUCCAUAGGAUACUGUUUGCACUUUUUCUGACAAAAUAUUUAGUAUUCCCAUUCUCCCAAGCCUCCUCACAGGAAACUUGGCAUAAAUUUGCUUCUUAUUCUCUGGAGAAGGCAUGAGCCACAUAACUAAAAUGCACUUCAUACUAUAAAAAAUAACAACAGAACCCCAAACCAAAACAAAAAAAAAUAACACAAAACUUGCCAAGGCAUAUUUAAAUCUGGCUUUAUUUUUCAUAUUUGCUAUUUUCUAGAAAGGAAAUAACACUUUUAAUGCUCUGGUUGCAGAUUGUUCUGGAGUGUGUGAGUCCAGGAGAUGCUCAGGGAACAGACUUCGUUGCAUGAACAUGUCAUGUGCAAGAACCCUCUAGAAUAAGUGAGACCAAGGACCCUCUACAAGUGGCUGGUGGACAAUCACAGAGGAAGUAGCCAAUGACUCCAAGUCUUCUGAAGGUAUUGUGCCUCCAGAAAAAUCUAUCAAAUGAGUACUAAAUGAAGAAGAACAAGAUAUCCACAGAAACACCAGGCAGAAACACCAUGUGACUCUGUCACCUCCACCCUCUGCAGGUCAUGGGAUUCAGUAAAUUUUCAAGGUUAGAGCUCUUCCUUUCUUUGCCAGGGGGGAAUCUCCUGCCAAGGGAAACAUGUGACUGUGGUUCAGGAUGACUUCUGUGGGAUUUAAUGUGCUUUAUCUUUCUCAUGAGCUCCGUAAAGCCCAAAUCAGUGAUUGUCUUGAGAAAACCAUCAGAAUUUGCAGUACUGCAUCAAAAAUGCCAAUUAAACAGUGUAGUGGGAAGGAAGAGAGAACAUGAUGGAGAAAAGGAAUAUUGAGAAGGAUGCAAGAUGAAAUGGAUUACCAUGCUGAAGGACUCCAGCAGUUCCAGCCAAAAUGUUACAUUUUACCCACUCUCAACAGGAUAUGCUACAGGGGAGGAAAUCCAGCUCUAAUGGCUGAUAGAUAUUUUCUAUGGUUUCAAAAGGUAUUUUGCCUCUGUUGGUCUGGAUUUUAUACAACAGCCUGUCUAAUGAAGUGGCUCUGCAGUCCUUUCCAACAGUUUUGAAGUACAGCAUGUGUUGAUUAUCUCAGUUGAAUGGAUCUGAGUUCAUUUAUAAGUUGCUUUGUUUUGCCUUUUUUUUUUUCACUCCUUUGUUCCUCCCUUCUCUGUCUAAAGCACACAAAUUGUUUGUAGAGGGAAAAACAUAUAAACAGUGUGAUUCAGUACAAUAAAGAACAGCUUGUUAAAAAUG
Molecule: long non-coding RNA, 2516 nt
Organism: Taeniopygia guttata (zebra finch)
Lineage: Eukaryota; Metazoa; Chordata; Aves; Passeriformes; Estrildidae
Source: RefSeq, a predicted model, not a curated record